This 205-nucleotide long non-coding RNA is filed under the name Lathyrus oleraceus (garden pea). RNAcentral's name for it is "Pisum sativum (pea) long non-coding RNA (PSAT_LNC016516)". Lineage: Eukaryota; Viridiplantae; Streptophyta; Magnoliopsida; Fabales; Fabaceae. The record is from RNAcentral.
UUAAAUCCUAGAUGUGCACUUAAUAGAUCAAUGGUGAUCAUGCCCUACCUACAAAAGAGUUAGACAAAUACAAAGACAUAUUUUUGGUUUUUUGGUUAGUAAAAUUAUACUAUACAAGUAUGAUAUAAUCACAUGGUGCUUGGUGAUCUCUCCCAAAACAAACCCAAUGAAAGAGGGGUAAGGAGGAUGCCAAGUUAUGAUUCCA